ACGCUGGCGGCAGGCUUAACACAUGCAAGUCGAACGCACCUUUCGGGGUGAGUGGCAGACGGGUGAGUAACGCGUGGGAACGUGCCCUUCAGUUCGGAAUAACCCAGGGAAACUUGGGCUAAUACCGGAUACGUGCGAGAGCAGAAAGAUUUAUCGCUGAAGGAUCGGCCCGCGUCUGAUUAGCUAGUUGGUGGGGUAAUGGCCCACCAAGGCGACGAUCAGUAGCUGGUCUGAGAGGAUGAUCAGCCACAUUGGGACUGAGACACGGCCCAAACUCCUACGGGAGGCAGCAGUGGGGAAUAUUGGACAAUGGGCGCAAGCCUGAUCCAGCCAUGCCGCGUGAGUGAUGAAGGCCUUAGGGUUGUAAAGCUCUUUCGUCCGGGACGAUAAUGACGGUACCGG
RNAcentral lists this ribosomal RNA (402 nucleotides) under bacterium gwi88. Its description in RNAcentral is "bacterial SSU rRNA". It matches the Rfam family "Bacterial small subunit ribosomal RNA", at positions 33 to 481 of the family's 1533-position model. The record is from RNAcentral.